AAGGAAUUAGCUCAAUUGGUAGAGCAGUCGUUUUACACACGCAAGGUUAGGUGUUCAAGUCACCUAUUUUUUU
RNAcentral lists this transfer RNA (73 nucleotides) under Exophiala mesophila. RNAcentral describes it as "partial tRNA-Val". It matches the Rfam family "tRNA". From Rfam's summary of the family: Transfer RNA (tRNA) molecules are approximately 80 nucleotides in length. Their secondary structure includes four short double-helical elements and three loops (D, anti-codon, and T loops). The record is from RNAcentral. Lineage: Eukaryota; Fungi; Ascomycota; Eurotiomycetes; Chaetothyriales; Herpotrichiellaceae.